Molecule: non-coding RNA, 45 nt
Filed under: Schistosoma haematobium
Lineage: Eukaryota; Metazoa; Platyhelminthes; Trematoda; Strigeidida; Schistosomatidae
Source: RNAcentral
AUCCAGCUGACUAGUCCAAAAUAGGACGAAACGCACGUCCUGGUU